GUCUAUGGCCAUACCACUCUGAACGCGCCCGAUCUCGUCUGAUCUUGGAAGCUAAGCGGGGUCGGGCCUGGUUAGUACUUAGAGGGGAGAAAGGCUUGCAUUGCUAUAUACU
This 112-nucleotide ribosomal RNA is filed under the name Ailuropoda melanoleuca (giant panda). Lineage: Eukaryota; Metazoa; Chordata; Mammalia; Carnivora; Ursidae. The record is from RNAcentral.